Molecule: ribosomal RNA, 1097 nt
Filed under: metagenome
Description: bacterial LSU rRNA
Rfam family: Bacterial large subunit ribosomal RNA
Source: RNAcentral
GUAAGCCGUUGAAGGUGUUCUGUAAGGAAUGCUGGAGGUAUCAGAAGUGCGAAUGCUGACAUAAGUAACGAUAAAGGGGGUGAAAGGCCCCCUCGCCGAAAGCCCAAGGUUUCCUGUUCAAUGUUAAUCAGAACAGGGUUAGUCGGCCCCUAAGGCGAGGCAGAAAUGCGUAGUCGAUGGGAAACAGGUUAAUAUUCCUGUACUGAUCAUAACUGCGAUGGAGAGACGGAGAAGGCUAGACGGGCCAACUGUUGGAUUAGUUGGUUUAACCGCGUAGGCAGAAAUCUUAGGUAAAUCCGGGAUUUCCUCUUAAAUGAGAAUGCUGAGACGGGAUGACGAGCACCUUAUUAGGAGCGAAGUCGUUGAUGCCCUGCUUCCAGGAAAAUCUUCUAAGCUUCAGGUUAUGAUUAACCGUACCCCAAACCGACACAGGUGGGCGGGAUGAGUAUUCUAAGGCGCUUGAGAGAACUCGGGUGAAGGAACUCGGCAAAAUAACACCGUAACUUCGGGAGAAGGUGUGCCCCUAUUAUGUGAAGCGACUUGCUCGUGGAGCAGAACGGGGUUGCAACAAAGAGAUGGCUGCGACUGUUUACUAAAAACAUAGCACUCUGCAAACUCGCAAGAGGAAGUAUAGGGUGUGACGCCUGCCCGGUGCCGGAAGGUUAAUUGAUGGGGUUAUCCGUAAGGAGAAGCUCUUGAUCGAAGCCCCGGUGAACGGCGGCCGUAACUAUAACGGUCCUAAGGUAGCGAAAUUCCUUGUCGGGUAAGUUCCGACCUGCACGAAUGGCGUAACGAUGGCCAUACUGUCUCCACCCGGGACUCAGUGAAAUUGAACUCGCUGUGAAGAUGCAGUGUACCCGCGGCUAGACGGAAAGACCCCGUGCACCUUUACUACAGCUUUACAUUGAACUCUGAGCACGCAUGUGCAGGAUAGGUGGUAGGCUUUGAAGCGGGAACGCUAGUUUCUGUGGAGCCACCCUUGAGAUACCACCCUUGUUUGUUUGGGGUUCUAACCCAGACCCGUAAUCCGGGUCGGGGACAAUGUAUGGUGGGUAGUUUGACUGGGGCGGUCUCCUCCCAAAGAGUAACGGAGGAGC